CAGGAACAUUCUGAUAAUUGCUGAGUCUAUCAUUGAUAUCAGAUCAACCCCUGACUGGUUCUUCUGUCUAAUGAGUGUGAACAACGUGCUCCAAAUCCUCAACACGAACAUGAACUUCUGGUUCUACGCGUGGAUGAACAAAAACUUCAGGGCUGGACUUCGAUCCCUCGUUUCCAGUUGUUUACCAACUGCGACCCAAAGCGUUCCAACAGCAGAGGUUCAAGUCUAAUCUACUAACUGGCCUGGUACCCUGUACAGUGCACAGUACCCUGUACAGUUCACAAUAGCCUGUACAGUGCAUAGUACCCUACACAGUAUACAACAUCGUACAUAAGUCACUAGAAUGGGCUGAUUCAUCGUUUUGCCUUCUGUGUCUGUUUGUACAAAUUUCUCUAAUUCCCCAGAAAAUAGAAAAUAGCGAGGUACUUAGUUUCAGUGAUAAUUAACGCUGUGUUUUCAAACUGAAACAGAAUCAAAGACGGCAUUCAACUCUUUUCUCUUUUCUUAAAUUUUUUACAAAUAGUCUAUAUUAAAUUAUUAAAUUAUAAAUUCAACAAAUAUGAUUGAUUUAAGCUAAUGUACUUAAGGACCCACAUGGUAUGAUGGUAAUGGUAUGAUAUCUAUAUAAGAACAAAAGCAUUAAUAAAUAAUCGAACUAACAAUAGCAUUUCUGAAUUACCAACAGUUUGUUUGAAAUUUUAAUAAAAAAUGUAUCUACAGGGU
Eurytemora carolleeae is the source of this 723-nucleotide long non-coding RNA. RefSeq lists it as uncharacterized. The transcript is spliced from 4 exons. The record is from RefSeq and is a predicted model, not a curated record. Lineage: Eukaryota; Metazoa; Arthropoda; Copepoda; Calanoida; Temoridae.